Molecule: ribosomal RNA, 460 nt
Filed under: uncultured bacterium
Lineage: Bacteria
Description: partial 16S ribosomal RNA
Rfam family: Bacterial small subunit ribosomal RNA
Source: RNAcentral
CCUACGGGUGGCAGCAGUGAGGAAUAUUGGUCAAUGGACGAGAGUCUGAACCAGCCAAGUAGCGUGAAGGAUGACUGCCCUAUGGGUUGUAAACUUCUUUUAUAUGGGAAUAAAAUGUUCCACGUGUGGGAUUUUGUAUGUACCAUAUGAAUAAGGAUCGACUAACUCCGUUCCAGCAGCCGCGGUAAUACGGAGGAUCCGAGCGUUAUCCGGAUUUAUUGGGUUUAAGGGGAGCGUAGGUGGAUUGGUAAGUCAGUUGUGAAAGUUUGCGGCUCAACCGUAAAAUUGCAGUUGAAACUGGCAGUCUUGAGUACAGUAGAGGUGGGCGGAAUUCGUGGUGUAGCGGUGAAAUGCUUAGAUAUCACGAAGAACUACGAUUGCGAAGGCAGUUCACUGGACUGCAACUGACACUGAGGCUCGAAAGUGUGGGUAUCAAACAGGAUUAGAUACCCCAGUAGUC